GUGUUCUCCUGGAGGGCAGAGUAUGAACGGGGAGCAGGCCAAGGUCUUGCAGUUACCAUCGGAAACACCCCCCAGCGUCAGCAGCAUGAUAUUGUGGCUGAAUCUUCUCUUGGCUCUAGCGGCUCUUCCAGAUGUCCGGUCCCAGGUUCUUCUGGUGGAGUCGGGAGGGGAUGUGAAAAAGCCCGGAGACUCUCUCCGCCUCUCCUGCAAAGCCUCCGGGUUCAACUUCACCAGCUACCAUAUGAGCUGGGUCCGUCAGGCGCCCGGGAAGGACCUGGAGUGGGUCGCACUGAUAUACAACCCUGCUAGUAGCCAAAGCACGUUUUACAGUGAAGCGGUUAAAGGGCGAUUCACCAUCUCCAGAGACGACUCGAACAGCCUGGUGUAUCUGCAAAUGACCAGCCUGAAAGCGGAAGACACCGCCUGGUAUUACUGUGCGAGAGACACAGCGAUCAGAAAUCAACUGCAGUGAAUACAAAAACCUCCUCCUCGGACGCAAACAGCUCUCAGGGCCAGCAGAGAGCAGCAGGCACUGACACGGCAGAGCAGCUGAGACACCGGGAAAUGGAAUAAG
Molecule: non-coding RNA, 574 nt
Organism: Mauremys reevesii (Reeves's turtle)
Lineage: Eukaryota; Metazoa; Chordata; Testudines; Geoemydidae
Source: the annotation of a RefSeq genome assembly